Long non-coding RNA from Heterocephalus glaber (naked mole-rat), 542 nucleotides. RefSeq lists it as uncharacterized. NCBI's taxonomy places the organism in Eukaryota, Metazoa, Chordata, Mammalia, Rodentia, Bathyergidae. The record is from RefSeq and is a predicted model, not a curated record.
GUAGGGGAAAUGCAGAGAGGAAGGUGGCAGGGACCUGAUAUAUUCCUCAAACUCAUGCCCCAUCAGACAAAUUCAAAAGUGUACUUUAAUCUCCUAAGUAUGUCACAAGUGAAUCAAUUUGACAAGCAACAUUAAUCAUCAAAAGCUAAAUAUUUGUAACAGAAGAAAGAACAAUCAUUCCACUGAACUAGAAGACUUUAGCCAGGCCAUUUUGGAUUUCUAAUAACUAUUAAUCAACAGGAAAAUGAGGAAGUUAUCAUCUGGAUAGGAUAAUGGAUCCUGAUUGCUAAAGGGAAGAUGGACUAUUACUGAAUAAUGGAGGUACCAAGCUGACAAGAGGUGAUCUUGUGAUAGUGAAUUUUAUGGACCAACUUGAUUGGGCCAUGGCUUGUUCAGAUAGCUAAUUAAAUACUAUUGUUUGGUGUUACCAUAGCAAUGUUUCCAGAAGACAAUAGUAUCUGAAUGGAUGUGAACUGAACAUCCAUAAAGCUGAUGGCCAAUGAAAUGUCUAAUAUUUCCAAGGAGAGCAGAGAUGGUAGAAC